Long non-coding RNA from Bactrocera dorsalis (oriental fruit fly), 1155 nucleotides. RefSeq lists it as uncharacterized. Lineage: Eukaryota; Metazoa; Arthropoda; Insecta; Diptera; Tephritidae. The transcript is spliced from 3 exons. The record is from RefSeq and is a predicted model, not a curated record.
UUCAGUUCAGUUUAGAACGUGUGCUUGCACGAGACGGUUCGUUACAUGUUGGCAGCAACGAGUAAUGUGGAAUUAAAAUCAGAUAUUAGAGAAUUUGAGCAGAAGCCAAGCUUUAGUUGGAAAUUAAAAAAUAAAUAAAUUUAAGGAAAUUAUUACUAUUUGUAGUAAAACAGUAAAAGUGAAAUAAAAUGCGCUUAUGCGCUUGGCAGCAGGAAGUCGGCCGCUUAGUUUGUAAAUAUUGUAUAGUCGGUGGCUGCAAAUGUCAUAUACAUGGCAGAAAUGCAGUAGAAAGAAGUGAAGCCACGAAAGUGGUUGGAAAGUGCUGUCUGAGUGCAAUAAGCCAUAAGUGGUUAAGGAUAAAAAUCGAGCCAAAAAGCGCCAGUUUAACUCUGAGUGAGAAUUUUCAUAUCAAUAUGUGUUCAAUGUGUAACGCGCUUGAGUGUUCGCUUUUUUCAAGUAGAAAUUGCAAGCCGCGGGGACGCAACAAGUUUAAAUUAAUGCCUAGAUCCAUCCCUUGACAACCGUUCGCGUCUCAGCUCACGUUUCCAUCACCAAAUCAGCGUCGUCGUCAGCAAUAUCCGUUGUGAUACUGGAAAACAAAACAGAUCCGGAUUGUGCCUCUGCCAGAAUAGCGAAAACAGCGUCAUCAUGAAUUUUAAAAUUUUUCACAUCUGGCCCAUAUGGGAAACGCCUUCUUCAUACCCUGCUUGACAACUACAACAGUCUGGAGCGACCCGUCGUAAACGAAUCCGAUCCACUGCAGCUGAGCUUCGGGCUGACGCUAAUGCAAAUCAUCGAUGUGGCAGACGAGCAAGCUGUUCGCUUGGACACCAGGGUAACGCAUCGCAUAUUAUAGAUAACCACGAGACCUCAAAAGCUCAAAUUAAAGUGCUUGCGUGUCACAUGAUAAAGAAAGCAACAUAUCACAACGGCAAGCUGAUUGACAUCUUCCAACGAAAAGCAUCGGGCGUAAUUUGGGUUUAGUCAUCUGGCUACUCUUAAGUUGAGGCGAGGUGUAAUCCGGUGUGAAAGAGUAAGUUUAUUUCUGACACCUGGAUAUGAAGAAGAAAAGAAGACACAACUGCAAAGAAAUGAAAUUCAUUAAAUUAAUUAUACCAUAAACUUAAAUGUAACUCAAGUCUUAAUAAUAAUAAA